Molecule: ribosomal RNA, 2921 nt
Filed under: Klebsiella pneumoniae
Lineage: Bacteria; Pseudomonadati; Pseudomonadota; Gammaproteobacteria; Enterobacterales; Enterobacteriaceae
Description: bacterial LSU rRNA
Rfam family: Bacterial large subunit ribosomal RNA
Source: RNAcentral
GGGUUGUGAGGUUAAGCGACUAAGCGUACACGGUGGAUGCCCUGGCAGUCAGAGGCGAUGAAGGACGUGCUAAUCUGCGAAAAGCGUCGGUAAGGUGAUAUGAACCGUUACAGCCGGCGAUGUCCGAAUGGGGAAACCCAGUGCAAUUCGUUGCACUAUCGUUAACUGAAUACAUAGGUUAACGAGGCGAACCGGGGGAACUGAAACAUCUAAGUACCCCGAGGAAAAGAAAUCAACCGAGAUUCCCCAGUAGCGGCGAGCGAACGGGGAGCAGCCCAGAGUCUGAAUCAGCUUGUGUGUUAGUGGAACGGUCUGGAAAGUCCGACGGUACAGGGUGAUAGUCCCGUACACCAAAAUGCACAGGCUGUGAACUCGAAGAGUAGGGCGGGACACGUGGUAUCCUGUCUGAAUAUGGGGGACCAUCCUCCAAGGCUAAAUACUCCUGACUGACCGAUAGUGAACCAGUACCGUGAGGGAAAGGCGAAAAGAACCCCGGCGAGGGGAGUGAAAAAGAACCUGAAACCGUGUACGUACAAGCAGUGGGAGCACCUUCGGGUGUGACUGCGUACCUUUUGUAUAAUGGGUCAGCGACUUAUAUUCUGUAGCAAGGUUAACCGUAUAGGGGAGCCGCAGGGAAACCGAGUCUUAACUGGGCGUUAAGUUGCAGGGUAUAGACCCGAAACCCGGUGAUCUAGCCAUGGGCAGGUUGAAGGUUGGGUAACACUAACUGGAGGACCGAACCGACUAAUGUUGAAAAAUUAGCGGAUGACUUGUGGCUGGGGGUGAAAGGCCAAUCAAACCGGGAGAUAGCUGGUUCUCCCCGAAAGCUAUUUAGGUAGCGCCUCGUGAACUCAUCUUCGGGGGUAGAGCACUGUUUCGGCUAGGGGGUCAUCCCGACUUACCAACCCGAUGCAAACUACGAAUACCGAAGAAUGUUAUCACGGGAGACACACGGCGGGUGCUAACGUCCGUCGUGAAGAGGGAAACAACCCAGACCGCCAGCUAAGGUCCCAAAGUCAUGGUUAAGUGGGAAACGAUGUGGGAAGGCACAGACAGCCAGGAUGUUGGCUUAGAAGCAGCCAUCAUUUAAAGAAAGCGUAAUAGCUCACUGGUCGAGUCGGCCUGCGCGGAAGAUGUAACGGGGCUAAACCAUGCACCGAAGCUGCGGCAGCGACACUAUGUGUUGUUGGGUAGGGGAGCGUUCUGUAAGCCUGCGAAGGUGACCUGUGAGGGUUGCUGGAGGUAUCAGAAGUGCGAAUGCUGACAUAAGUAACGAUAAAGCGGGUGAAAAGCCCGCUCGCCGGAAGACCAAGGGUUCCUGUCCAACGUUAAUCGGGGCAGGGUGAGUCGACCCCUAAGGCGAGGCCGAAAGGCGUAGUCGAUGGGAAACAGGUUAAUAUUCCUGUACUUGGUGUUACUGCGAAGGGGGGACGGAGAAGGCUAUGUUAGCCGGGCGACGGUUGUCCCGGUUUAAGCAUGUAGGCUGGUUAUCCAGGCAAAUCCGGAUAAUCAAGGCUGAGGUGUGAUGACGAGGCACUACGGUGCUGAAGUAACAAAUGCCCUGCUUCCAGGAAAAGCCUCUAAGCAUCAGGUAACAUUAAAUCGUACCCCAAACCGACACAGGUGGUCAGGUAGAGAAUACCAAGGCGCUUGAGAGAACUCGGGUGAAGGAACUAGGCAAAAUGGUGCCGUAACUUCGGGAGAAGGCACGCUGGUGUGUAGGUGAAGUCCCUGCGGAUGGAGCUGAGACCAGUCGAAGAUACCAGCUGGCUGCAACUGUUUAUUAAAAACACAGCACUGUGCAAACACGAAAGUGGACGUAUACGGUGUGACGCCUGCCCGGUGCCGGAAGGUUAAUUGAUGGGGUUAUCCGUAAGGAGAAGCUCUUGAUCGAAGCCCCGGUAAACGGCGGCCGUAACUAUAACGGUCCUAAGGUAGCGAAAUUCCUUGUCGGGUAAGUUCCGACCUGCACGAAUGGCGUAAUGAUGGCCAGGCUGUCUCCACCCGAGACUCAGUGAAAUUGAACUCGCUGUGAAGAUGCAGUGUACCCGCGGCAAGACGGAAAGACCCCGUGAACCUUUACUAUAGCUUGACACUGAACAUUGAGCCUUGAUGUGUAGGAUAGGUGGGAGGCUUUGAAGCGUGGACGCCAGUCUGCGUGGAGCCAACCUUGAAAUACCACCCUUUAAUGUUUGAUGUUCUAACGUUGGCCCCUUACCGGGGUUGCGGACAGUGUCUGGUGGGUAGUUUGACUGGGGCGGUCUCCUCCCAAAGCGUAACGGAGGAGCACGAAGGUUAGCUAAUCCUGGUCGGACAUCAGGAGGUUAGUGCAAUGGCAUAAGCUAGCUUGACUGCGAGCGUGACGGCGCGAGCAGGUGCGAAAGCAGGUCAUAGUGAUCCGGUGGUUCUGAAUGGAAGGGCCAUCGCUCAACGGAUAAAAGGUACUCCGGGGAUAACAGGCUGAUACCGCCCAAGAGUUCAUAUCGACGGCGGUGUUUGGCACCUCGAUGUCGGCUCAUCACAUCCUGGGGCUGAAGUAGGUCCCAAGGGUAUGGCUGUUCGCCAUUUAAAGUGGUACGCGAGCUGGGUUUAGAACGUCGUGAGACAGUUCGGUCCCUAUCUGCCGUGGGCGCUGGAGAAUUGAGGGGGGCUGCUCCUAGUACGAGAGGACCGGAGUGGACGCAUCACUGGUGUUCGGGUUGUCAUGCCAAUGGCACUGCCCGGUAGCUAAAUGCGGAAGAGAUAAGUGCUGAAAGCAUCUAAGCACGAAACUUGCCCCGAGAUGAGUUCUCCCUGAGACUUUAAGUCUCCUGAAGGAACGUUAAAGACGAUGACGUUGAUAGGCCGGGUGUGUAAGCGCAGCGAUGCGUUGAGCUAACCGGUACUAAUGAACCGUGAGGCUUAACCUUACAACGCCGAAG